This 330-nucleotide small RNA is filed under the name Pararhizobium capsulatum DSM 1112. RNAcentral's name for it is "transfer-messenger RNA". It matches the Rfam family "Alphaproteobacteria transfer-messenger RNA", at positions 97 to 355 of the family's 355-position model. From Rfam's summary of the family: Bacterial tmRNA, also known as 10Sa RNA or SsrA, is named for its dual tRNA and mRNA-like properties. Its role is to liberate the mRNA from a stalled ribosome. The record is from RNAcentral. Lineage: Bacteria; Pseudomonadati; Pseudomonadota; Alphaproteobacteria; Hyphomicrobiales; Rhizobiaceae.
UGCGUUUAAAAGACUGAUUUUCCUCAAUACUUACGUCGACUAACUUCACUUUUUGUCUUUAUAAGGUUCGGUACCCGGCGCCUCCACCAAAAACCGGUCGGUCACGAUGACCGGCUUUUGAUGGGGGCGAAAUAGGAUCGACAAGGGUGUAAAGAUCGAACUUUUGCUCGGCAUGAUACCGCCGUUAUCGGGUCAAAAUAGUAGUUGCAAACGACAACUAUGCGGAAGCUCGUCUCGCUGCUUAAUCGCAGUGUGACACUUCAAAUCAAGUCCUAAGGGGUCGCACUCUUAGGCGGGGUUCGGAGGUACCUGGCAACAGAAACCUCCACU